UCCUACGGGAGGCAGCAGUGGGGAAUAUUGCACAAUGGGCGAAAGCCUGAUGCAGCAACGCCGCGUGAGGGACGACGGCCUUCGGGUUGUAAACCUCUUUUAGCAGGAAAGAAGCGAAAGUGACGGUACCUGCAGAAAAAGCGCCGGCUAACUACGUGCCAGCAGCCGCGGUAAUACGUAGGGCGCAAGCGUUAUCCGGAAUUAUUGGGCGUAAAGAGCUCGUAGGCGGUCUGUCGCGUCUGCUGUGAAAACCCGAGGCUCAACCUCGGGCCUGCAGUGGGUACGGGCAGACUAGAGUGCGGUAGGGGAGAUUGGAAUUCCUGGUGUAGCGGUGGAAUGCGCAGAUAUCAGGAGGAACACCGAUGGCGAAGGCAGAUCUCUGGGCCGUAACUGACGCUGAGGAGCGAAAGGGUGGGGAGCAAACAGGCUUAGAUACCCUGGUAGUCCACCCCGUAAACGUUGGGAACUAGUUGUGGGGUCCAUUCCACGGAUUCCGUGACGCAGCUAACGCAUUAAGUUCCCCGCCUGG
RNAcentral lists this ribosomal RNA (529 nucleotides) under Microbacterium schleiferi. RNAcentral describes it as "bacterial SSU rRNA". It matches the Rfam family "Bacterial small subunit ribosomal RNA", at positions 337 to 876 of the family's 1533-position model. Lineage: Bacteria; Bacillati; Actinomycetota; Actinomycetes; Micrococcales; Microbacteriaceae. The record is from RNAcentral.